This is a long non-coding RNA of Oncorhynchus tshawytscha (Chinook salmon), 1191 nucleotides long. The record is from Ensembl. Lineage: Eukaryota; Metazoa; Chordata; Actinopteri; Salmoniformes; Salmonidae.
AGAUAACUGAGUCUGAUGACCAGGCUACAGUGUGCAAUUCCCCAAGUCAACUCUUACAAAAGCGCUAUUCCCCGCUUGCAGAGUAAAAACACUGUGAUUUUUGGAGUAGGGGGUUCGUUCUCUGUUGAUUCCGUGUAGAGAGGUAGCAAGAAGAAAAACCAAGAGGAUUUCGCUCUUAAUGAAUGGAAAUACGGAUCGGCGCUGUACACGCAGCCAGAGUAAAGAGGCUGAGAUCGAAUGGAAGGAAAUAAGAAAUAAGUGGGGAUAGCUCAAGAUAAGGCAAAGCCAAGGGGGCACGCGAACCGGAGACGAAGCAAAACCGCUGCAAUUGACGAUCAACGGAUUACAACAUUAUUCCCGUUGCUGGCGAGUAAACUAUUUUCUAGAGGGAAUUGAUGGUGUCUUUACAGAGCAGAACAGACUUUGAAGAGGUGAUUUUGAAUGCACUCGGCUGAAUCAUGCUGAGUUUGUGGUUAAUAACUUUGGCUAUCAGUUUUAACAAAGACGAACCCUGCUGCUGUUGACCUUGACACCAGCGUUGGUAGUACAGAGCCUGUAGACUCAUUGGAUGAAAGCUUUCAGCCUGGAAUAAACUCAAUCAUCUGACUUUGAAACAAGCCAGAACAGCAAAAGGAGACUUUAAGCACAAACAAAUAAUCUGCAAGAGGUCGAAGCAUUGGGUGGUAAAGAAAGGGUACGAGAGGCUUGUCCACCUGGCUGUGGCGUGCAGAAAAGACCUGCCGGUUGUCUACAAGGAGCCUGAAUUAUAGCUCCCCAAACCCAAUAUCCCUGCCAACAGUGCCAAAGCCUGCUAAACCAGCUGCCAUUACUCAACACAAGAAAAGGUUCACCUCCUGAAGAGCAUUCUGGAACCUGCCUGGAACAUUCAAGCAACACAACAUCCAUAUUUUGUAGUAUAAUAUAGAAUGCCUAGUAUGCUCACAACUACAUUGUGGUAUAGAUAUUGCUAGUUGUUGUACAUACAGCAUAUAUAAGUAUACUGUCAAGUGGGUAAAUGAUUCCAGCUGUAUCAGAAAAGUGUUGACUUCAACUUCUGGGUCAAUUAAUUGUGAUAUUCAUGAAAUGUAUUUGGAUAAACUAGCGAAUGUCUUACUGCACAAAACAUGUAUGCCUGGACUUGGUGUAUCAUUUAAACUUUAAUUUGUUGGCAAGUAAACAUGUUUCAAUAAA